This 460-nucleotide ribosomal RNA is filed under the name uncultured bacterium. Its description in RNAcentral is "partial 16S ribosomal RNA". It matches the Rfam family "Bacterial small subunit ribosomal RNA", at positions 338 to 795 of the family's 1533-position model. The record is from RNAcentral.
CCUACGGGAGGCAGCAGUGAGGAAUAUUGGUCAAUGGCCGCGAGGCUGAACCAGCCAAGUAGCGUGAGGGAUGACUGCCCUACGGGUUGUAAACUUCUUUUGUCAAGGAGCAAAGAGAGGCACGUGUGCCGUUUUGUGAGUACUUGGUGAAAAAGGAUCGGCUAACUCCGUGCCAGCAGCCGCGGUAAUACGGAGGAUCCGAGCGUUAUCCGGGUUUAUUGGGUUUAAAGGGAGCGUAGAUGGGUUGUGAAGUCAGUUGUGAAAGUGAGAGGCUCAACCGUAAAAUCGCAAUUGAUACUGCCAGUCUUGAGUGCAGUUGAGGUAGGCGGAAUGCGUGGUGUAGCGGUGAAAUGCUUAGAUAUCACGCAGAACUCCGAUUGCGAAGGCAGCUUACUAACCUGCAACUGACAUUGAUGCUCGAAAGUGUGGGUAUCAAACAGGAUUAGAUACCCCUGUAGUC